Long non-coding RNA from Larimichthys crocea (large yellow croaker), 2063 nucleotides. RefSeq lists it as uncharacterized. The record is from RefSeq and is a predicted model, not a curated record. The transcript is spliced from 2 exons. Lineage: Eukaryota; Metazoa; Chordata; Actinopteri; Sciaenidae.
GUGCCAGCUCUACCACAGGACCACGAUGUAAAUCAUCACAGCGACCUCCCCCUUCUCUGAUCAAUCAGGAUCUGCUGUGAACUGGACCUGAAAGUCAUACACAGCCAAAGGGAUGUGUUAUUUUGGUCUGAAAAAAGACGACAACAGAAAAAGACAAAAGGCAACAAAAGACUCAAAGUUGUGAAAUGCUGAAGGCAAACAGCUGGUGGAACAGGUUUCUGAAGUAAAGAUGGGGAGGGGUUUACCUGGCUAUGAAAGACUGCCCUGAAAAGUAAAUCAACAAUCAAACAAUAAUGUUUCUAAACGUAAAAUGACAAAGAAUCUGUGGAUUUCAUCGUCUGCAGUUCAUAUCAUUCAAAGAAUCAGAGAAGCUGAACAAAUCUCUGUACACAAGGGACGAGUACAGGUGAAGUGGAAAUGCAUGCCUCAUCCUCCAGCCUAAAGAACAGAGGGAACAUCAGGCUUGUUAUCAGGACUUUGCAAAAGUGAGCGUCCCUGAUGGUAUGGGGGUGCAUUAGUGCACAUGGCAUGAUGGGUCAUUAACCCUCCGGUCAUGUUCACCUCCCCUUUCUUUAGUGUUCCCAGUCAAACCUGACUGAUCUGUUUUACUGUAAUUCCCCUUAAGGUAAAAUGACAUUUGUCUGAUCAUACUGGACUAAAACUCGUCGUCUUUGUGUAGUGUGCUCAUGAGGAUGACAUUUCUGUUCUUUGGAACUUUUUACACAAGAGUGUGUGUGUCAGUGAAAGCUAAUUUUGAUGAGAGUGCCUCUCCUCCUCUGGUCGAUACCAGUGCAGGGGCAAGUUCAGGCUUGUUCUUCCUCACUGUCCCUACCAUGGUGAGCUUUCUUUUCAGCAUCUCCUGACCAAGAGUAUAUUAUGUGAAAAAGUUGUCACAUGUGAUAUUAUGCCCUUGGAGACCAGUUGUCAUGUCCAGCACAACACGCAUGCCCUGUUUUUUUUCCAGCCCUUCCAGUACUGGCUUUCCCCAUGUAUACCUGCAUAUUCCAGGCAUAGCUGCUCCUGGCGUCACAUGCUGCCCAGAUCUUUAUUCCAUAUUUCCCUGGUUUGCUUGGAAUGUACACCUUGAAAGGAACUCCACUCUCGCUCUACUUCUUCUGUCCUGGAGGAAUGAAGACCAGAGCAAGUGCCCACUCUUGGACUGGAAUGUCUCCUCAGGUGCCUGCUCAGUCUCCUCAAAGUCUGGAUGGAAAACUGUGUUGUUCUCCACUUCCGAGACAUCCUCCUCCAUCUCUGGUUCGAUUUCAGUGCCCUCUCCAUCAUGUCCACUAACCUGGGCCAGAACCUCUCUAACAGAGAAUCGCUUGGUCAGUUGUUGUAUCAACAUGUUUCAUCAGAAAGUUGAUUCACGUGGGGAGUGAGUGAGUGAGUGAGUGAGUGAGUGAGUGAGUGAGUGAGUGAGUGAGUGAGUUGGGGUGGUGUGUAUGGGGAUGUUUUCUGUCUGAUGGAUGAAUAUAGUCUGGAUACCCAUUCAUUUCAUGGUGGUCACUUUUGACCGGGAACACCACAAGUGUAACAAGGUUGAUGAGAACACUCAAAAUUCAAUGAAAGAGGUGAUCAUCACUUUUAUAUGUUCAAGUGCAUAGUGUGGAGGAUAUCAUAAGGCCUUGUGGCAAUCAGAUAUAAAACACAAUAUUUAUGAAUGUUUUAAGUUGUAAAUUGGUCAGAUUUGACCCAAACACGACAGGAUUGUAAGGAUUGUUCAUUCAUUUAAUCUGUAUUGUCUGUAUUCAUUUUCUUGGCAAAGCGAGGCUCAGGAACCGAGCUAAACACUGAUGGUGUUAUUGUACAGAUGUCACACCGUGCAAUCAAUAUUUACUGCAUAAUAAUGAAGUUUAAAAAAUGUGUUUGUCUGUUUUGUUACCAUAAGUUGCUCAAUGUUGCAGGAACAUGCAGCUAAAAGUCAACACAGCUGAACAAACAUAGGUUAAAUAAAUAUUUAACUUGCAGUUAACGUACAGUGGGUCAGUUAACUAUGUCAAAAGACAAACAGUUUCUGUAAACAAGAAUAUAACAACGAUGCUGGAAUAAACUAUAAAUAUGUA